AGAGAAUUGCUUGAACCCGGGAGGUGGAGGUUGUAGUGAGCCGAGAUCGCGCCACUGCACUCCAGCCUGGGCAACAGAGUGAGACUCCAUCUCAAAAAAACAAAACAAAAAACCAAUAAGCCCAGAAUUGGCCAGAACCCACAACCCAGUGAGACUGCGCUGUGCCAGGAUGCCCACCACCUCCAUGCCGAGAGGAGGGGGCCACAGCCCUGGCAUGCAGCCCUGCCCAGUAGCCCGGCACCUGCCCCUGCCACGCAGGAGGCCCCCCGGCCUGCCAGCAGCCUCAGGCCUCCCCGCUGUGGCGUGCCCGACCCACCUGAUGGGCUGAGUGCCCGCAACCGACAGAAGAGGUUCGUGCUUUCUGGCGGGCGCUGGGAGAAGACGGACCUCACCUACAGGAUCCUUCGGUUCCCAUGGCAGUUGGUGCAGGAGCAGGUGCGGCAGACGAUGGCAGAGGCCCUAAAGGUAUGGAGCGAUGUGACGCCACUCACCUUCACUGAGGUGCACGAGGGCCGUGCUGACAUUGUGAUCGACUUCGCCAGGUGAAUGGGCGGCCUGGGACCCCUCCGGGAACAGCCUCGCCUGCCAGCAGCCACUGACCCCGCCCCCACCCAUCUGUAGGUACUGGCAUGGGGACGACCUGCCGUUUGAUGGGCCUGGGGGCAUCCUGGCCCAUGCCUUCUUCCCUAAGACUCACCGAGAAGGGGAUGUCCACUUCGACUAUGAUGAGACCUGGACUAUCGGGGAUGACCAGGGCACAGACCUGCUGCAGGUGGCAGCCCAUGAAUUUGGCCACGUGCUGGGGCUGCAGCACACAACAGCAGCCAAGGCCCUGAUGUCUGCCUUCUACACCUUUCGCUACCCACUGAGUCUCAGCCCAGAUGACCGCAGGGGCGUUCAACACCUAUAUGGCCAGCCCUGGCCCACUGUCACCUCCAGGACCCCAGCCCUGGGCCCCCAGGCUGGGAUAGACACCAAUGAGAUUGCACCGCUGGAG
Molecule: small RNA, 997 nt
Filed under: Pan troglodytes (chimpanzee)
Lineage: Eukaryota; Metazoa; Chordata; Mammalia; Primates; Hominidae
Description: processed transcript
Source: RNAcentral